GAUAAGCCUAGCAAUGAGUUUCCGUAUCCAACUUUAAUCGUCCGUUUUAUUUAAAUUUUUUUUUAUAACUAGCAUUUUUGUUGUUAUGAAAUGAUAAAACAUGAAUAGUACUUUACUUGUGACUUAUGUUUUUAAUUUCUUUUCAAAAAAUUUUGAAAUACGACGAACGGUUAAAGUUAGGACACGAAAAACUAUGGCUGCACUUAUU
Oryza meridionalis is the source of this 208-nucleotide non-coding RNA. The record is from Rfam. Lineage: Eukaryota; Viridiplantae; Streptophyta; Magnoliopsida; Poales; Poaceae.